CCUCUUUCUUCACUGUGUUCUUCACACGAUCUUUGAGGAACAAUGCUUUGCUUAUCCUUAUGCUGUGGUUUAUAGAUGUUAAUCUCCUGCUCUUCUUCCCUUUCUUCUUUCGUAGCCUGCAGAAGAUUACAUCUCUUUUCAGCUGAAGCACAGACAUUCUCAGUCCAAUUCCUAUCUGAUUCCGUCAACAAUCGCAGCACACCUUUCCCAAAUCUGAUUUGACAAGAUUUUUUUUUUGCUGGUGGAGCUUUUUUGUAAGCUGUCAUAGCUAGUUCUAGGUAUCUUUGUUUGAUUCAUAGUUAUGUAUGUCCCUUUAAUGGCGUUGUACAUAGCAUAACUGUGUUCUUCUGUUAAUUUCCCUGAUCUCUCUCCUGAUGUGUUGCCUGGAUUGUUAUCUUCCUUAUUUUAAUCUGUAUUGAAGGGAUUUCUGCUUUAUCCAUGUUCAUAAUUCCUCUACAUUCCACUAAUAGUUGUUGAAAUGUAUGAAUUUGUAUU
Molecule: long non-coding RNA, 495 nt
Organism: Solanum verrucosum
Lineage: Eukaryota; Viridiplantae; Streptophyta; Magnoliopsida; Solanales; Solanaceae
Exons: 2
Source: RefSeq, a predicted model, not a curated record